UACAGAGGGUGCGAGCGUUAAUCGGAAUUACUGGGCGUAAAGCGCGCGUAGGCGGCUUGGCAAGUCGGAUGUGAAAUCCCUCGGCUCAACCAAGGAAGUGCAUCCGAAACUGCCGAGCUUGAGUACUUAAGAGGAUCGCGGAAUUCCCGGUGUAGAGGUGAAAUUCGUAGAUAUCGGGAGGAAUACCAGUGGCGAAGGCGGCGAUCUGGGAAGAUACUGACGCUGAGGUGCGAAAGCGUGGGGAGCAAACAGG
Molecule: ribosomal RNA, 253 nt
Filed under: uncultured prokaryote
Description: partial 16S ribosomal RNA
Rfam family: Bacterial small subunit ribosomal RNA
Source: RNAcentral